AUGAACGCUGGCGGCAUGGAUUAGGCAUGCAAGUCGAACGGGCCGUCUUUCGCAAGGGAGGCGGCCAGUGGCGAAAGGGUGAGUAACACGUGAGCAACCUGCCCCCGAGCCCGGGAUAGCCCGCGGAAACGUGGAUUAAUACCGGAUGUGGUACCCCGCUGCAUGGCGGGGCCACUGAAGAUUUAUCGCUCGGGGAUGGGCUCGCGGCCCAUAAGCUUGUUGGCGGGGUAACGGCCCACCAAGGCUAUGACGGGUAGGUGGUCUGAGAGGAUGGUCACCCACACUGGGACUGAGACACUGCCCAGACUCCUACGGGAGGCUGCAGUCGAGAAUCUUCCGCAAUGGGCGAAAGCCUGACGGAGCGAUGCCGCGUGAGGGAUGAAGGCCUUCGGGUUGUAAACCUCUGUCAGAGGGGACGAAGAAUGUGACGGUACCCUCAGAGGAAGCCACGGCUAACUACGU
RNAcentral lists this ribosomal RNA (462 nucleotides) under uncultured bacterium. RNAcentral describes it as "bacterial SSU rRNA". It matches the Rfam family "Bacterial small subunit ribosomal RNA", at positions 29 to 506 of the family's 1533-position model. The record is from RNAcentral.